GUCCCUAGAACCCUGCAGGAAUGACGUGUUUUUGUAGGGCAACCCGGAAGUUAGCAUCGCCAUGGUUCCCUCGACAAAAAAACAAUGGGAUUGUUCCAUUGGGUUUUGGAUUAAUGUGGCAAAUAAACAUUUAUGAUACUUACAAGUUUUGCUCACCAAGAU
Sebastes umbrosus (honeycomb rockfish) is the source of this 162-nucleotide long non-coding RNA. RefSeq lists it as uncharacterized. The record is from RefSeq and is a predicted model, not a curated record. Lineage: Eukaryota; Metazoa; Chordata; Actinopteri; Perciformes; Sebastidae. The transcript has 3 exons.